This 1023-nucleotide small RNA is filed under the name uncultured bacterium. Its description in RNAcentral is "bacterial SSU rRNA". The stretch from base 1 to 476 matches the Rfam family "Bacterial small subunit ribosomal RNA", at positions 1045 to 1533 of the family's 1533-position model. The record is from RNAcentral.
AUGGCUGUCGUCAGCUCGUGUCGUGAGAUGUUGGGUUAAGUCCCGCAACGAGCGCAACCCUCGCUUUCAGUUGCCAUCAUUAAGUUGGGCACUCUGAAAGAACUGCCAGUGAUAAGCUGGAGGAAGGUGGGGAUGACGUCAAGUCCUCAUGGCCCUUACGUGUUGGGCUACACACGUGCUACAAUGGCAUCUACAACAGGAAGCAAAACGGCAACGUUAAGCAAAUCCCUAAAAGAUGCCUCAGUUCGGAUUGCACUCUGCAACUCGAGUGCAUGAAGCUGGAAUUACUAGUAAUCGUGGAUCAGCGUGCCACGGUGAAUACGUUCCCGGGUCUUGUACACACCGCCCGUCACACCAUGGAAGUUGGUUACACCUUAAGGCAAAGCGUCAAACCUUUGACUACGGUACGAUCAGCGACUGGGGUGAAGUCGUAACAAGGUAGCCGUAGGGGAACCUGCGGCUGGAUCACCUCCUUUCUAAGGAAAUCGAAAAUAUCAAAACAAUUAUUUUCGAUUUAAAAAAAUCGGUUAAUGUGACCGUCCUCAUUUCUCUUCUUUAAUGUCUCUAAGGUAAAUCAAGGGGCCGGUAGCUCAGUUGGUUAGAGCACACGCUUGAUAAGCGUGGGGUCGAAAGUUCGAGUCUUUCUCGGCCCACCACACUUAACUGGGGGAUUAGCUCAGCUGGGAGAGCGCCUGAUUUGCAUUCAGGAGGUCAGCGGUUCGAUCCCGCUAUCCUCCACCAGGAAACAUUUAGUUAUUCAAACUGUAAAUAAAAAUAAUUUAUAUCAAUAUCUAUAUCCGAACAUUAAUUUUGUUAUUAGUUAAUGUUCAAAAUAAAAAUUUGAUCACAACGCAGAUUAAAUUUCUUUAAAAAGAAUUUUUUUCUGUGCAUAAAUCAAGCGUUUAAGGGCGAUUGGCGGAUGCCUUGGCACUGUAAGACGAUGAAGGACGUGGUAUACUGCGAUAAGUUUCGGGGAGCCGUAUGCAGGCUUUGAUCCGAAAAUUUCCGAAUGGGGAAACCCGG